UACGAAGGUCCCUAGCGUUGUUCGGAAUUAUUGGGCGUAAAGCGCAUGUAGGUGGCUUAGCAAGUCAGGUGUGAAAGCCCCGGGCUCAACCCGGGAAGUGCACUUGAAACUGCUUAGCUUGAGUACGGAAGAGGUAAGUGGAAUACCUGGUGUAGUGGUGAAAUACGUAGAUAUCAGGUGGAACAUCAGUGGCGAAGGCGGCUUACUGGUCCAGUACUGACACUGAGAUGCGAAAGCAUGGGGAUCAAACAGG
Molecule: ribosomal RNA, 253 nt
Filed under: uncultured bacterium
Lineage: Bacteria
Description: partial 16S ribosomal RNA
Rfam family: Bacterial small subunit ribosomal RNA
Source: RNAcentral